AUGGCCCACCCUAUUUACCCUCUAGCUUCGCCAAUGCACACAACCUCCUCCUUGACCCCUUUUGAUGCCCUCUCGUACAUCUUCUCCUUGUGCGCCCACAACCUCCUCCUCGACCCCUUUUACUGCCCUCUCAUACAGCUUCACCUUAAUGUUUUGGUUGAAUUUUGUGAUGCAAGUAACACGAGAUCAAAUAUGAUGGUGGUGAUUAAUCCCCAGAAUGAGAAUCUCGGUGCCCCUUAUGAAGGUGUACAUGUUGCUGUUGCUGAUCUAGAUAACCACAAUGUUGCUUUGGGUGACAAUGUUGCAGUACAUGCUGAUGUUGCAGUCAAUGCAGUUGAUCAUAAUGUUGCAGUACAACCAAAUGCUCCUACGAACAAUGAUGCCAAUGAUCAUAGUACUGUGCCUGGACUGCCUCCUGAUAAUGAUAUGAACAGCAAUACUGGUCCUGAGUUUAUCCCUCUGCCUGCUGCCUCCAGUCCUAUAUUUGUUCCUAGCAAUGUCAACAUGAACUAUAAUGAUAUUCCUUCCUCAAGUAAUGCACAAUCUAUUCAUACUAGUUGA
This 561-nucleotide ribosomal RNA is filed under the name Triticum aestivum (bread wheat). RNAcentral's name for it is "partial small subunit ribosomal RNA". Lineage: Eukaryota; Viridiplantae; Streptophyta; Magnoliopsida; Poales; Poaceae. The record is from RNAcentral.